GGGCCAGAGCUCAAAAGGGACGAGCACACCCGUGAUAAGGCUGAGGUGGAUGGUUCAAGUCCAUUUAGGCCCAU
Molecule: transfer RNA, 74 nt
Filed under: Candidatus Phytoplasma sacchari
Lineage: Bacteria; Bacillati; Mycoplasmatota; Mollicutes; Acholeplasmatales; Acholeplasmataceae
Description: tRNA-Ile
Rfam family: tRNA
About the family: Transfer RNA (tRNA) molecules are approximately 80 nucleotides in length. Their secondary structure includes four short double-helical elements and three loops (D, anti-codon, and T loops).
Source: RNAcentral